RNAcentral lists this ribosomal RNA (1485 nucleotides) under Ostreobium quekettii. RNAcentral's name for it is "SSU rRNA". It matches the Rfam family "Bacterial small subunit ribosomal RNA". The record is from RNAcentral. Lineage: Eukaryota; Viridiplantae; Chlorophyta; Ulvophyceae; Bryopsidales; Ostreobiaceae.
AAACAAAAUGGUUUGAUCCUGGCCAAGGAGAAACGCUGGGGGUGGGUAUCAACACAUGCGAGUGGAACGGUCGAAAGAUAGUCGCGGACGAGUGAGUAACGCGUGAGAAUCUGCCCUCCAGUGGAGUCAAAUAUUCCAUGAAUCGGCAGUUGCCGGUAAAGACCUAGGUCGCUGGAGGAUGAGCUCGCGUAGGAUUAUGGUUGUUGGUGAGGUAAUGGCCCACCAAGCCUCUGAUCCUUAGCCGUCCUGAGAGGGGGACCGGCCACGGUGGCACUGAGACACGGGCCACACGCAAUAUUUGCGGCAGCAGUGGAUAAGAUUUGACAAUGGGCGAAAGCCUGAUCGAGCCACACCCCGUGAGCGAAGAAGGCCGAUGAGUCGUAAAGCUCUAAAGCUCAGCGACGACCGCUGGGCGAUAAGUACCGGCUAACUCUGUGCCAGCAGCCGCGGUAAGACAGAGGGUGCAAGCGUUUUCCGGAAUGACUGGGCGUAAAGGGCACGUAGGCGGUGUUCCUAUUUCUCUAGAUGAAUUCCAUGGCUCACCCAUGGAGCAUUUAGAGUGUGGGUCCACUGGAGUGUGAUAGAGGAGAGUGGAAUUUCUAGUGUAGAGGUCAAAUUCGUAGAUACUAGAAGGAACACCGACAGCGAAGGCAGCUCUCUGGGUCACCACUGACGCUGAGGUGCGGAAGCGCGGGGAGCAACAGGGAUUAGAUACCCCUUUAGUCCGCGCCGUCAACGAUGAGUGUUAGGUUUUGUCAUGUGUGGCAGAGCCGUAGCUAACGCGUUAAACACUCCGCCUGGGGACUACGGUCGCAAGAUUAAAACUCAAAGGAAUUGGCGGUAGCUCAAACAAGCGGCGGAACAUGCCGUUUAAUUCGAAACAACGCGCAAAACCUUACCAACCCUUGACAUGUUUUUGAAACCCUUGCCGUAAUAGCAAGACUAGCAAUUCACAGGUGCUGCAUGGCUGUCGUCAGUUCGUGGCGUGAGUCGUUUGGUUUAUUCCUGCAACGAACGAAACCCCUGGUAGGUGUUGCUCAGCAACAGCAAGCCUAUUGGCUUGUCAGUUGUUGCACUCACCUACGACUGCCCGCGAUAUGCUGGAGGAAGGUGGGGAUCACGUCAAGUCGUCAUGGCCCUUAUGGGUUGGGCUACAGGUGUGUUACAAUGGCGACUACAGAAGCUUGCGAUGGUGCCAGCCGGAGCGAAAGCAAAAAAGUCGUCGUAGUUCGGAUUGUUCUCUGCAACUCGAGAAUAUGAAGUCGGAGUCGCUAGUAAUCGCGGAUCAGCACGCCGCGGUGAAUAUGUACCUGGGCUGUGCACACCCCGCCCAUCACGUUCGGAAAGUUUUAUGCGGUGGAAGGGGCAUACCCGUCGUGGCCUACUAGAGUGGGCAUGACGGAUGCUUCGAAUCUGUGUAGGGUAAUUCGAAUGAAGUUGUAACACGGUAGCUGUAGGGGAACCUGCAGCUGGAUUGAAACCUUG